This is a long non-coding RNA of Triplophysa dalaica, 491 nucleotides long. RefSeq lists it as uncharacterized. Lineage: Eukaryota; Metazoa; Chordata; Actinopteri; Cypriniformes; Nemacheilidae. The record is from RefSeq and is a predicted model, not a curated record. The transcript is spliced from 2 exons.
CGGCAAGAUGGCGGGUCCUAUAGAUAAAGCGGUACAGCCAACAAUUGUGAGAGACCUGCAAACAGCAUGGAAUUGGGUGCAGAGCCACAAAGAUAUGUUCAUUAAGGAGGUGACGGAGUCUGCCUUUUUGUGGAUGAGUUCCAACGAACAAGAAGAUGCACUCAAGAAGGUCCUGGGGGGUCAUUUCCCAGAAGACAGAGAUAACUUUUUGUUUGUGUUUCAACCUUUCAAAGACAUAAAAAAUAUUUUUGUAAACCUGUGUUUAUUUAAACCAUUUUUCAUUUAUUUGUUUAUUAAACUAAAUUUUUGUCACAUUAACUGUGACGUAAUGUAGUGUUGUAGGGUGGAGGUGGCCAGUAGAGGACGUAUUUUACUAUCAUGUCGUUCUGUUCUCCUGCGCAACCUUGAAGAGUGUUCCCGGUGGAAGUCGGGUGUUAGACGUCACAGAUGCUCUUAUGUUCCACAUGUAAAUAAACCCAGAGUUAAUAUUU